UGGCUCAGGAUGAACGCUAGCUACAGGCUUAACGACAUAGCAAGUCGAGGGGCAGCAUGAUCGAAGCUUGCUUUGAUUGAUGGCGACCGGCGCACGGGUGAGUAACGCGUAUCCAACCUUCCCUAUAGUAGAGAAUAGCCCGGCGAAAGUCGGAUUAAUGCUCUAUGUUGUAUUUAGAGGACAUCUGAAGAAUACCAAAGGUUUACCGCUAUAGGAUGGGGAUGCGUCUGAUUAGGUAGUAGGCGGGUAACGGCCCACCUAGCCGACGAUCAGUAGGGGUUCUGAGAGGAAGGUCCCCCACAUUGGAACUGAGACACGGUCCAAACUCCUACGGGAGGCAGCAGUGAGGAAUAUUGGUCAAUGGACGGAAGUCUGAACCAGCCAAGUAAGCGUGCAGGAUGACGGCCCUAUGGGUUGUAAACUGCUUUUAUAUAGGGAUAAAGUCGGGGACGUGUCCCCGUUUGUAGGUACUAUAUGAAUAAGGACCGGCUAAUUCCGUGCCAGCCGCCGC
This 511-nucleotide ribosomal RNA is filed under the name uncultured bacterium. Its description in RNAcentral is "bacterial SSU rRNA". It matches the Rfam family "Bacterial small subunit ribosomal RNA", at positions 20 to 518 of the family's 1533-position model. The record is from RNAcentral.